This 301-nucleotide ribosomal RNA is filed under the name uncultured bacterium. Its description in RNAcentral is "partial 16S ribosomal RNA". It matches the Rfam family "Bacterial small subunit ribosomal RNA", at positions 509 to 809 of the family's 1533-position model. The record is from RNAcentral.
CAGCCGCCGCGGGAAUACGGAGGGUGCGAGCGUUAAUCGGAAUUACUGGGCGUAAAGCGUACGCAGGCGGUUUGUUAAGUCAGAUGUGAAAUCCCCGAGCUUAACUCGGGAACUGCAUUUGAAACUGGCAGGCUAGAGUCUCGUAGAGGGGGGUAGAAUUCCAGGUGUAGCGGUGAAAUGCGUAGAGAUCUGGAGGAAUACCGGUGGCGAAGGCGGCCCCCUGGACGAAGACUGACGCUCAGGUACGAAAGCGUGGGGAGCAAACAGGAUUAGAGACCCCUGUAGUCCCUGUCUCUUAUAU